GCCCCCGUAGUUCAAUGGAUAGAACGGAGGUUUCCUAAACCUUAAAUGCAGGUUCGAUUCCUGCCGGGGGCA
RNAcentral lists this transfer RNA (72 nucleotides) under Verrucomicrobiota bacterium. RNAcentral's name for it is "Verrucomicrobia bacterium (activated sludge metagenome) tRNA-Arg". It matches the Rfam family "tRNA". From Rfam's summary of the family: Transfer RNA (tRNA) molecules are approximately 80 nucleotides in length. Lineage: Bacteria; Pseudomonadati; Verrucomicrobiota. The record is from RNAcentral.